UGCAAGCCGAGGGGUAUGAUUCUUUCGGGAAUCUGAGACCGGCGCACGGGUGCGUAACGCGUAUGCAACUUGCCCUACUGAAAAGGAUAGCCCUUCGAAAGGAGGAUUAAUACUNAUAACAGAUUGAAUGGCAUCAUUUAAUUUUGAAAGAUUUAUCGCAGUAGGAUAGGCAUGCGUAAGAUUAGUUAGUUGGAGAGGUAACGGCUCACCAAGACGAUGAUCUUUAGGGGGCCUGAGAGGGUGAACCCCCACACUGGUACUGAGACACGGACCAGACUCCUACGGGAGGCAGCAGUGAGGAAUAUUGGACAAUGGGUGGAAGCCUGAUCCAGCCAUCCCGCGUGUAGGACGACUGCCUUAUGGGUUGUAAACUACUUUUAUCUGGGGAUAAACCUACUCACGUGUGAGUAGCUGAAGGUACCAGAAGAAUAAGCACCGGCUAACUCCGUGCCAGCAGNCNNNGG
Molecule: ribosomal RNA, 464 nt
Filed under: Wautersiella sp.
Lineage: Bacteria; Pseudomonadati; Bacteroidota; Flavobacteriia; Flavobacteriales; Weeksellaceae
Description: bacterial SSU rRNA
Rfam family: Bacterial small subunit ribosomal RNA
Source: RNAcentral